Molecule: long non-coding RNA, 648 nt
Organism: Anneissia japonica
Lineage: Eukaryota; Metazoa; Echinodermata; Crinoidea; Comatulida; Comatulidae
Exons: 4
Source: RefSeq, a predicted model, not a curated record
UCUGCGUAUUUCGAACAUCGAAUACAUUGCGAUUAGCGCUCUAGUAUUCUUAUUAUAUCUCUAUUGAAGUUACACACAACUAAAGUGACCUGCCAGGUCCAAGGUCAAAACUGUAGUCUAGGUGCCUUCAAAAAAUUUGAACCAAAAAUUUGUUUAUGGAAUUUACUAAUUUUCCAUAUGCCUGAGAUGAUAAAAAGAAACGUUCCUGCGAGACUUCAACCGUUCCAUCGUCGAAAGUGAUCGGAAACUGACAUUUUGUCUGCUGACUUGUUUGAAAUCAGUAAUUACGUCUUAUUAGGCAACCAUGAGAGGUUUGGUGCUUUUUGCAAUAGUGGUAAUGCUGGCUGAGGUGUAUUCUACUCACUAUCGUGGCGGUACUUUCUACUGGGAAAAACUUGGAGAAACCAAGAUCCGUGUUCACUGGCGUCUUGCCUUUCAACUGACCGAUGACUAUAAAGAGUACAAAUGUGAACAUAUCGGACAGAACAUGAAAGCCGAAUCUUUUUUGGACCUGAAUUGUUCUGAUUGCGCUUCCAACAAAACCAUCUUAACACCAUUAACAUUGAAAUGUAUGUCAAUUUCAAGAGAGUUUGGAUGGAGUCUCCUCGAUGGAUACGUAGAAUACCAAGCAGACCGCAACAGGUUUAC